UCGUACUACGUGCGUUGAGCGCGUGCGAGGGCUGUCGCUGACUUUCUGUUGACGCAAUAGUCGUGCACGCCGGAGCGCGUCCUCACGCAUAAUAUCCAUCUCACUCUUCUGUGCACCACCGCGUGUGCACCUUUUGGGAUCGAAUCGAUCCUGGAGGGUGCUUGCGUCUUCACACAUACCCCUUCUUAAAAAGUGUAGAAUGACCCCAUUUUGCGAUGACACGCAAUCAAUACAACUUUCAACAACGGAUCUCUUGGCUCUCGCAGCGAUGAAGAACGCAGCGAUAUGCGAUACGUAAUGUGAAUUGCAGAAUUCAGUGAAUCAUCGAAUCUUUGAACGCACCUUGCGCCCCUUGGUAUUCCGAGGGGCACACUCGUUUGAGUGUCGUGAAAUUCUCAACCUUCUCUGUUUUCUUCUGGACACCGAAGGAGGCUUGGUCAUUGGAGGCCUUUGCUGUCGUCUCUUAGACCCAGCUCCUCUUAAAUGAAUUAGCGGGGUCCUCUUUGCCGAUCCCUGACAUGUGAUAAGAUGUUUCUAUGACUUUGUUUCUGGCUCUGUCGCAUUUGUGACCCGCUUCUAACCGUCUCGACGAGACAUCGUUUGGUCGUGUCUCCUUUCUCGGGAGACUCUCUCAACUCCAACGAACCCUACUUCGAGGAAGGCGAAAUAACUAUACGAAUUCAAGUCGCCCAUCAGAGUGGGCUAAACUCCA
RNAcentral lists this ribosomal RNA (712 nucleotides) under Lactarius deliciosus. RNAcentral describes it as "eukaryotic LSU rRNA". The stretch from base 234 to 387 matches the Rfam family "5.8S ribosomal RNA". The record is from RNAcentral. Lineage: Eukaryota; Fungi; Basidiomycota; Agaricomycetes; Russulales; Russulaceae.